Molecule: ribosomal RNA, 301 nt
Filed under: uncultured bacterium
Lineage: Bacteria
Description: partial 16S ribosomal RNA
Rfam family: Bacterial small subunit ribosomal RNA
Source: RNAcentral
CAGCAGCCGCGGGAAUACGUAGGGUGCAAGCGUUAUCCGGAAUUAUUGGGCGUAAAGAGCUCGUAGGCGGUUUGUCGCGUCUGCUGUGAAAACUGGAGGCUCAACCUCCAGCCUGCAGUGGGUACGGGCAGACUAGAGUGCGGUAGGGGAGAUUGGAAUUCCUGGUGUAGCGGUGGAAUGCGCAGAUAUCAGGAGGAACACCGAUGGCGAAGGCAGAUCGCUGGGCCGUAACUGACGCUGAGGAGCGAAAGCAUGGGGAGCGAACAGGAUUAGAUACCCGAGUAGUCCCUGUCUCUUAUAA